CCCCACUCUAUGGAAAGCCUGGGCGGUGACAAAAGUAAUCGAAGCUGAGAUCUCCCUGAAUUCCCUGAAGUUGACAUCACUCUGCCUUCUGGAAGACAGCUCUAUGCGUUUAAGUCCCAGUAAGUUUCACUAAUCACAGUCCAGUGGCAGAGCAGAGUCAAGAUGACCCGUGAUGGCUGGGGAUGCACUGGAUGACCUCGGUGUCUUUGAUAUCUAACCAAGCUCAAAGAAAGGAUCAUAUUAGAAAAAUCCUGGAAGGGAUUCUGUUAUGUCUUGAUCUUGAGGAAAAGAUGGAAAGAGAGGAAGAAUACACUAAGGAAACCACUUCAAAAACCACUGAUGCAGGCAGCAAAGUGAGCCACUGUGGGAGAGUGAGAGAGCCAUGCUGUGCAGAGCUGCUUGGAGAGACUUUGGACACCUCCAGUCAGUGCCCAGAUGAGCACGAGUCCCAGAGGAAGGAUGAAGGUCUUCAUCCAUGAGGAUGGCGGCUCAACUCCUAAGAGGAAGGGAGUGAACUUGCCAUGCACCAAGGGCAUGGCCAGUGGGCAAAAUGCAGAGACGGAUGAUGGAGGCAUCUUUGAACUCCUAGGGGACAACCUCCUCUUGCCAUAGAACCCAGAAAAUUUCAGUUACCUUUUGCAUGAGCAGUGGAUCACCUACCUUGUAAACCUCAGCUGGAACAGAAUCGGCACCAGGCGCUUUGCCACACAAAUAGAACCCAAUGGCAUUCAGAACCUCUUCUUCAGUUGGAACUUCAGCUAGGGAGGGAUUGAUUUCGACUUGGGGAAUUCUGCUGCCUUGCAGAUGCAGUGAGCAUCAGGGAGCCGUCCUUCAAGAAUGUCUGGUUUGUUGUCCAAAGAAGUCUGGGUCUCUUUCUGGCAAGUGGACUCAAACAAGGAACACUUCCUAGUCCCCGGAAGAAAGGCAGGGGUUGUUGUUGGCCCCUCAUUACCAAACUUCCCACCAAGCAUUUUGCUCCCCAUACCUCCACUCUGUAACCAGUCAUGUCAUCCUCAACCCUAUGACAUCACCUAACCUGCUCUGUUCUUUGUUCCAUACUCCCCCAAACCUAUAAAAUUGUCCUCCUCAUUCAGGGUCUUAGCUUUGCCUAAGAAGCUGAGAUCCUAUUUAUUGGAAAAUUUGCAUUUUACUAAUAAAUUGAUCAUGCUUGGAA
This is a non-coding RNA of Phascolarctos cinereus (koala), 1174 nucleotides long. NCBI's taxonomy places the organism in Eukaryota, Metazoa, Chordata, Mammalia, Diprotodontia, Phascolarctidae. The record is from RefSeq and is a predicted model, not a curated record.